This 898-nucleotide ribosomal RNA is filed under the name Ostorhinchus guamensis (Guam cardinalfish). Its description in RNAcentral is "partial 16S rRNA". The stretch from base 192 to 898 matches the Rfam family "Bacterial large subunit ribosomal RNA", at positions 568 to 1719 of the family's 2925-position model. Lineage: Eukaryota; Metazoa; Chordata; Actinopteri; Kurtiformes; Apogonidae. The record is from RNAcentral.
AGCCCAACAGCUAGCUCAACCUCUAAAACGCAACAAGCCACUAUAUAUAAACCCCAAUAACCUCAACACCCCGAAUCAAACCAUUUUUCCACCCAAGUAUGGGCGACAGAAAAGGACUUACCGAAGCAAUAGCGACAGUAUCCGCAAGGGAAUGCUGAAAGAGAAAUGAAACAAAUCAGUUAAGCACAAAGAAGCAGAGCUUAAUUCUCGUACCUUUUGCAUCAUGAUUUAGCAAGAAAAGAUCAAGCAAAGAGCACUUUAGUUUGAUUCCCCGAAACCAAGUGAGCUACUCCAAGACAGCCUUUUAGGGCGAACCCGUCUCUGUGGCAAAAGAGUGGGGAGAGCUUUGAGUAGAGGUGACAGACCUACCGAACUUGGUUAUAGCUGGUUGUCCAGGAAUUGAAUAGAAGUUCAGCCUUUCGUCCUCUUCCCCCACGACCGGCCACAUUUCCAGGCCCCAAAGAGGACUAAAGAGUUAGUCAAAGGGGGUACAGCCCCUUUGAAAAAGAUACAACUUUCCCAGAAGGGUUAAGAUCAUAGCAUUAAUUAAGGGAUUGUGUUCUAGUUGGCCUAAAAGCAGCCACCCAUGCAGAAAGCGUUAAAGCUCAUACACCCCUGCCCCCCAUUAUCCGGACCACACCAUCUUACCCCCUACACAUACUGGACCUCCCCAUACCUCUAUGGGAGAGAUUAUGCUAAUAUGAGUAAUAAGAGACCCAGAUUCUCUCCACGCACAAGUGUACAUCGGAACGAACCCACACCGACAACUAACGGCCCCAAGAAAGAGGGAAUUGAAAUAUAAUGGCCAAGCCACUAGAAAAACAUCCACACUCCAACCGUUAACCUUACACCAGAGUGCACACAAGGAAAGACUAAAGGAAAAAGAAGGAACUCGGCA